GACGAACGCUGGCGACGCGCUUAACAUAUGCAAGUCGAACGGAAAGGCCUGCUUUCCCUUGUGGAUUGCGGGUACUCGAGUGGCGAACGGGUGAGUAACACGUGAGUGAUCUGCCCCCAACUUGGGUAUAAGCCUGGGAAACUGGGUCUAAUUCCCGAUAGGACUGCAGGGUGGUGCCUGUGGUGGAAAACGAUUUUCUAGUGGUUGGGGAUGAGCUCGCGGCCUAUCAGCUUGUUGGUGGGGUAAUGGCCUACCAAGGCGGCGACGGGUAGCCGGCCUGAGAGGGUGGACGGCCACAUUGGGACUGGGAUACGGCCCAGACUCCUACGGGAGGCAGCAGUGGGGAAUAGUGCACAAUGGGCGGAAGCCUGAUGCAGCGACGCCGCGUGGGGGAUGACGGCCUUCGGGUUGUAAACUCCUUUCGACCGCGAGGAAGCCACCUGGUUGGAAGGGUGGUGACGGUAGUGGUAGAAGAAGCACCGGCUAACUACGUG
Molecule: ribosomal RNA, 494 nt
Filed under: uncultured bacterium
Lineage: Bacteria
Description: partial 16S ribosomal RNA
Rfam family: Bacterial small subunit ribosomal RNA
Source: RNAcentral